UCAUGUGGCCUUUAGUAAGAAGCGUCCACUCUCAUUGUGUUUUAUUUACCAGCUUGCUUUUAAAGAGCCAGGACCAGUCCACUAGCUGUGCAGAGUGCUGACCUCUUGGAUGAGAGCCCUGACCUCAUAGGAUAUCUGAGCUUGUCAUAAUUCAGGUGGGUUCUGUAGGGAAGCAGGGGCUCGUGGGGAGUGGGAGGAAGCUGGGGAGAAGAUGAGUUGAGAGCAGUCCAGUGUGAGGGAAAGUGGGGAUCCUGGGCCAACUUACCAUUAAGAGGGUCCAGUCCUGUGACUGCUGUGAAGUAACCAGGAUUCCACAUAGAGAUGGGGCUCAAAGUCAGCCCAGGAGCAGCACUGUGGUCCCAGAACUAAUAUUUGGCGACUCCAAGGCCAGGGAUAAAAAUGAAGAGAUGGAGAGACAAGAUUUCCUGGCCUCUAAUUGGCAGCACCCGUUGACUCUGCUCGUGACCAGACUCAUGAACGCUUCAUCCAAGGUUUCAUGUCAUCCGUGUGAGGAACCUCUCUGAUUUGAGAAAAUCUUUCUUAAAAUGGGCUUCUAGUUGUAAAGCCAUUGUCUUUUUAGGAAAUCAUCAAAUACCUUAAAGCUAGACACGCAAUCAGCUGCAUAAAUGACACACUCACUAAAUCAAUCCUUUAUCAGGUGAUCCUGAUGCUCAUGGCCAUGCAUUGAGAACAACUGUGUAAGAAGAUAUGGAUAAUGCUUGAAAACUACUAGUAUUAGCACCAUUUUGCAUAUACUCCAAGGAAGAUCUCAAUAAAUGCUUAAUGGAAAUAAGUAAAGGUAUGAAUGCUGGACCUAAUACAGGAGGAAGACCCAGGUGAUUUGUGUACAAUUUGGACACAAGCUCUUGCCAACCACCUGAGAGAUUCCAACAAUGAGAUGAGAUUCCUUACCUUGAACCAGAUAAUUUGGAAUGAAUGUCUAGGCAGAACUUCUGCUUCAGAAUGACCACAAUUAACUACCAGACAACCAACUUUGGGGACAUAUCAGUAGGUGCAGAGCAUUUAGAACUGGAAGGACCAUUUGAAAUACAUAGUUCAUCUCUCUCAUGUUACUGAGGAGGAAAACUGAAGUGCACGGAGGUAAAGUAACUCGCCCAGUAUCACAAUUUGUGUUUGUACCAUUGCUGAGGUGAGCACCUGGGCCUUCUAACCCCAAAUUAAAUUAUUCUCCUAUGUGACAACCUCCUUUAAUGGUUUUUUCUCAUUUAUAUUUAAAAUUUUUAAAGUACCCAAGUAAUAAUACACGUUCAUGGUAGAAAAAGAAAAAAAAUUAGCAAAAUGAGGAAAAUAAAAAUCAGUUUUAAUCCCACCUUCAGAUGCAACUAUUCUCUGUUUUGUAUUUCCUUUCUAGAUAAUAACUAUAACGGAUCAUUAUUAUGAAAUGCUUACUCUGUGCUAGUUAUUAUGGAGUGCUUCUUACAAAAUGCUAGGCAUUUUGUAAACACUCUUCAUGUGUGGAUGCUUUAAUCUUCUGCACAACCCUAUGAUGUAGAUUAUCACCAUCAGUGAUAGGCAGUGUGGCAGGCAGAAUGACAGCCUCCCUGAAAUGUCCACAUACUAAUCCCAGGAACCUGUGAAUGCGUUAUGUUACAUGGCAAAGGAGAAUUAAGAUAGCAGACAAAAUUAAGGUUGGUAAUUGGCUGAUCCUGAAAUAGCAAGAAUAUCCUAGAUUACCCAGGUAGGCCCAACGCAAUCAGAAAGGAAGAGGGAGACACAAGAGGCGGCAUGAGAGUGAUGCGAUGUGAGAAUGAUUCAACCAGCCUUUGCUGGCUUUGAAGGUGGAGGAGGAGGCCAGAGCCAAGGAAUGCGGGAAACCUUUAGAAACUGAAAAACCAAAAAAUGGAUUUCUCCUUUUGGUACUCCAGAAAGGAAUGCACCCCUGCUGACACCUUGACUUUAGCCCAACAUGGUAGACAGAACAAUGGCCCCAAAAUAUCCACAUUCCAAUCCCUGGAAUGUGUGACUGUGUUACCUUACAUGUCAAAAGGAAGUUUACAGAUGUGAUUAAGACUUUUGAGAAGGGGAGAUUAUCUUGGAUUAUCUAGGUGGGCCCAAUGUAAUCAUAAGGAUCUUUAAAAGAAGCAGGCAGGAGGAUGAGAGUCAGAGAGAAGAUGUGAUGACAAAAGCAGGGAAUGGAGUGCUGUGCUUUUAAGACAGAGGAAGGGGCCAAAAGCCAAGGAACACAAGAGGCCUCUAAAAGAGGUAAGGAAACAGAAUCUUCCCUUGAGUCUCUGGAAGAGUAUGGCCCUGUUGACACCUUGAUUUUGGCCCAGCAAAACCUAUUUUGGACUGACCACCAGAACCGUAAGAUAAUAAAUGCAUGUUAUUUUAAGCCACUAAGUUUGUGGGAAUUUCUUACAGCAGCAAUAGGAAACUGGUACACCUAGUUUACAACUUGCUAGGGCCACAGAGUUGGCCAGUGGCAGAGACAGGAUGUGGUUUCAAGCCAUCUGGCUUCAGAGCCCAUAUCUGUUACCAUUAUGACAUAAACAUACAUGGACACAUAGAGAUUUAAAUAGUACAUACAUCUCAAUGAAUGCAAACCUUCCAUAAUAUUUUGAUAGUCAUUCAGCACCACCAUAUUAAAUAGUUGUAGUCCACUCAAUAAAUAUACCACUCCCCAUAUUUUAUAUAAUAAAUCCCUUAUUAUUCAAUACAUACGUUGUUUCUAAUGUUUCAAUAUUGUACUACUGGCAAUGAUAAACAUCUUUCUAGUGCUAUUAAUUAUUUCAUUAGGAAAAACUCUUAAAAUUAGAAACGCCAGGUCAAGUUACCCCUAAGAAAGACUGCAUUGGAAUAUAACGGAAAAUAAAACAUGCAACUGGAAGUCGGAGCAUCUCUGCCUUCUUUUUCUGUAACACCUUUGGUAUUAAGCUAUUUUUCUUAUCCAUGGUACACACUCAAUCGUAUUUUUGUUUUUGAAGGUUUUAGCUAUAACACUAUUUCUUCUGUAGACUCAUAGGUGUUAGAGCAAGAAGGUAUUUAGAGGUGAUUUAGUCUAAUCCUUUAAAUCACAGGUAAAUUCCCUGAGGCCCAGAGUGGUGAACUGACUCACUAAAAGCUCUCCUUACAGGGGUGCUUGGUGAGAACGCACCUUCCUGACUCCAAGGCCAGCUAUCUUUCCACAUCUGCUGCAAAUGUCAUGAGGCUAGCCCCCAAGUUGGGACCAUUAUUAAUUUUUCCCCUCAAGUCAUGCGAAACAUCUCUUGUCCUUUUAAUCAGAAGCAUAUUUUAGGGGCUGCGGAAUAAUAAGCACCCACAUAUCCAGUAUUAAAAGAUAAACUCUGGCCCUUUCCUGGAGUGAGCCUGUUUUCAUUUUAUCAUUGUGAAAUGUGGUAGGAUUGAUGGCAGACAAUAACUCCCCACCUCCCCCAGUAUUUUAUUAAGAUCCGUUCUUACAAAGGAUAACCGGAGGUUUUCCAUCAUCACCUCGUUGUCUUUUUUCUAACUUGGUUCGUCUGCUACCCAACAGUAGUAAGGUUACCUCAUCCUGGAAUCUGAUGUACACAACGGUAUGCAAACUCUUUCCUUCUCUCCGAAGCAAACAAUGAAAUGGGAAAACACUGCCAUUUUCUGACUGACCUCAAUCGCUGAGGGUGGACCCCGCACGUUACAUCAGCAG
Molecule: long non-coding RNA, 3643 nt
Filed under: Homo sapiens (human)
Lineage: Eukaryota; Metazoa; Chordata; Mammalia; Primates; Hominidae
Description: HSALNT0339769
Source: RNAcentral